GAUGAACGCUGGCGGCGUGCUUAACACAUGCAAGUCGAACGGAAAGGCCCAAGCUUGCUUGGGUACUCGAGUGGCGAACGGGUGAGUAACACGUGGGUGAUCUGCCCUGCACUUCGGGAUAAGCCUGGGAAACUGGGUCUAAUACCAGAUAGGACCACAUUUUGGAUGGUGUGGUGGAAAGUUUUUCGGUGUGGGAUGAGCUCGCGGCCUAUCAGCUUGUUGGUGGGGUAAUGGCCUACCAAGGCGUCGACGGGUAGCCGGCCUGAGAGGGUGUACGGCCACAUUGGGACUGAGAUACGGCCCAGACUCCUACGGGAGGCAGCAGUGGGGAAUAUUGCACAAUGGGCGCAAGCCUGAUGCAGCGACGCCGCGUGGGGGAUGACGGCCUUCGGGUUGUAAACUCCUUUCGCUAGGGACGAAGCGCAAGUGACGGUACCUGGAGAAGAAGCACCGGCUAACUACGUG
RNAcentral lists this ribosomal RNA (465 nucleotides) under uncultured bacterium. RNAcentral describes it as "partial 16S ribosomal RNA". It matches the Rfam family "Bacterial small subunit ribosomal RNA", at positions 28 to 507 of the family's 1533-position model. The record is from RNAcentral.